Long non-coding RNA from Dunckerocampus dactyliophorus (ringed pipefish), 395 nucleotides. RefSeq lists it as uncharacterized. The record is from RefSeq and is a predicted model, not a curated record. The transcript has 3 exons. NCBI's taxonomy places the organism in Eukaryota, Metazoa, Chordata, Actinopteri, Syngnathiformes, Syngnathidae.
GGUGAAGUUCAUUGUUCCGUUAUUGUGGGUUAAAGUUAAAAAGGACCAUGCAGAACAGUCCACAAUGACACUGAAUACAACGUUGCCACUCAUUUUGGGUGACCCCGUCUUCUGCAAAAGGUUAGUUCUGCUCGGUGACGUAGUGAAUGGGUCAUCACGUCGAUAGACGUGCUCCCCUGCUGCUCCGCCUUCUCACAGGUAAAGACGACAGGCCAAUAACCCAAAGAAAUAAUCCCAGUGGAAGGCCAAUAGACAAUAAAAGCUCUAUGGACAACUUUGUGGUCAACACUUUGACAGAGUGGCAGCUGACAGACCUUGUACGGAAGGUUGAACGGAAAGAAAUCGAUUUUUUUCCCUUUAUUUUCUUCUCUCCUAUCUUGCCUUUUGUUUUAUUU